CAAUAGCGUAUAUUAAAGUUGUUGCAGUUAAAAGCUCGUAGUUGGAUUUCUGGUGGGCGCGACCGGUCCGCCCCGAAAGGGGUGAGCACUGGCGUCGCCGUCCGCCAUCCUUGGGGAGAGGGGUUUUGGCAUUCAUUUGUCGAGGCUCGGAUCCCCAUCGUUUACUGUGAGAAAAUUAGAGUGUUCAAAGCAGGCUUACGCCUUGGAUAUGUUAGCAUGGAAUAAUAAGAUAAGACUUUGGCGGUCUAUUUUGUUGGUUUGCACGCCAUUGUAAUGAUUGAUAGGGACAGUUGGGGGUAUUCAUAUUUAAUUGUCAGAGGUGAAAUUCUUGGAUUUAUGAAAGAUGAACUACUGCGAAAGCAUUUACCAAGGAUGUUUUCAUUAAUCAAGAACGAAAGUUAGGGGAUCGAAGACGAUUAGAUACCAU
Molecule: ribosomal RNA, 427 nt
Filed under: uncultured eukaryote
Lineage: Eukaryota
Description: bacterial SSU rRNA
Rfam family: Eukaryotic small subunit ribosomal RNA
Source: RNAcentral